UACGUAGGGGGCAAGCGUUGUCCGGAUUUAUUGGGCGUAAAGAGCGUGUAGGCGGCCUUACAGGUCAGCUGUGAAAACUCGAGGCUCAACCUCGAGACGUCGGUUGAAACCGUAAGGCUAGAGUCCGGAAGAGGAGAGUGGAAUUCCCAGUGUAGCGGUGAAAUGCGCAGAUAUCGGGAAGAACACCCGUGGCGAAGGCGGCUCUCUGGGACGGUACUGACGCUGAGACGCGAAAGCGUGGGGAGCGAACAGG
RNAcentral lists this ribosomal RNA (253 nucleotides) under uncultured bacterium. RNAcentral describes it as "partial 16S ribosomal RNA". It matches the Rfam family "Bacterial small subunit ribosomal RNA", at positions 524 to 776 of the family's 1533-position model. The record is from RNAcentral.